Molecule: non-coding RNA, 789 nt
Organism: Camelina sativa (false flax)
Lineage: Eukaryota; Viridiplantae; Streptophyta; Magnoliopsida; Brassicales; Brassicaceae
Source: RefSeq, a predicted model, not a curated record
GAUUAUCAUAAGGAAGAGUGGCACUUUAGGAUGUGAGUCUAGAAUUUCCCACAAGAUAAAAUAAGUUUAAAACUAGCAAUUUCCUGCAAUUGAACCGUAAUCCUAAGGUGGUAGCCAAAUAAGUUUAGAGUGUCCUCUCAUACCUUAGGAUAUAUCCUUUGGUCGUUCAUGAAUAUUUUCCUUGCUUUACUCCUUUGUCUAGGUUCGUUUUCUUGUUCUCCCAAAUCUAGGGCCGUAUCUGCUGCUUCUUUUACCUGAAUUGGUACCUGAGAGGCAGAAGGAAGAAGCGAAGAGGCACGGGGCUUGGCUCGUUUAUGGAGCGUUGAUGGUCGCAGCGGGUCGAUGCCUAUAUGAACGGCUUAAAACAUCUGAGGCUCUGCGGUCUCCUCCAGCUAGCUCUGUCUGGAAGACAAAUGGAAAGGUCACCAAUGCCCGGCAAAGUAAACGCAAAGCAAGUACUGACAACUUAACUCAUCAACCACCACUGAAGAAGAUAGCAGUAGGUGGAAUUAUGCAAAUGAGCUCCACACAGAUGCAGAUGAACGGAGGCACAACAAUCCCACAACAGUCGCUAGUUGGAAGGGACAUUGCUCGGAGGACUUCAGCUACUAUGGACACUACCGUUGACAACUAUCUCCAUCCUCUUUUUGAGUAUUUUGGUGAGAGCAUGCUUAUGUUCACCCCCAAACAUGAACUCAGUUUCUUCUUGUAACAAUUUAUUAACAUGCAAGUGUUUUGUACCACAAAUAAUUCAUAUAUAAUAAUUGGAAAUAUUUUGGAGAGGUAGAA